Molecule: ribosomal RNA, 429 nt
Filed under: Pseudomonadota bacterium
Lineage: Bacteria; Pseudomonadati; Pseudomonadota
Description: Proteobacteria bacterium partial 16S ribosomal RNA
Rfam family: Bacterial small subunit ribosomal RNA
Source: RNAcentral
UGGGGAAUAUUGGACAAUGGGCGAAAGCCUGAUCCAGCCAUGCCGCGUGUGUGAAGAAGGUCUUCGGAUUGUAAAGCACUUUAAGUUGGGAGGAAGGGCAGUAAGCGAAUACCUUGCUGUUUUGACGUUACCGACAGAAUAAGCACCGGCUAACUCUGUGCCAGCAGCCGCGGUAAUACAGAGGGUGCAAGCGUUAAUCGGAAUUACUGGGCGUAAAGCGCGCGUAGGUGGUUCGUUAAGUUGAAUGUGAAAGCCCCGGGCUCAACCUGAGAACUGCAUCCAAAACUGGCGAGCUAGAGUAGGGCAGAGGGUGGUGGAAUUUCCUGUAUAGCGGUGAAAUGCGUAGAUAAAGGAAGGAACACCAGUGGCGAAGGCGACCACCUGGGCUCAUACUGACACUGAGGUGCGAAAGCGUGGGGAGCAAACAGG